UACAGAGGUCUCAAGCGUUGUCCGGAUUUAUUGGGCGUAAAGAGCGUGUAGGCGGCUUGGUAGGUCCGCUGUGAAAACUCGAGGCUCAACCUCGAGAUGUCGGCGGAAACCACUUGGCUAGAGUCCGGAAGAGGAGAGUGGAAUUCCUGGUGUAGCGGUGAAAUGCGCAGAUAUCAGGAAGAACACCUAUGGCGAAGGCAGCUCUCUGGGACGGUACUGACGCUGAGACGCGAAAGCGUGGGGAGCGAACAGG
Molecule: ribosomal RNA, 253 nt
Filed under: uncultured bacterium
Lineage: Bacteria
Description: partial 16S ribosomal RNA
Rfam family: Bacterial small subunit ribosomal RNA
Source: RNAcentral